UCCUACAGUAUUACCGGUAUUAUCUUAUACGUGUUCAACUUGUUGUCUUCCUCUGGGGAAUCUUCAAUCAUGGUACCUAACGAGGCGUUAGUAGUCACAGCAGAUUGCCGCCGCUGUCACUUUUAAACACAUUACGGUUUUAUGUUGCCAGGGAGCGACUCACACGACACCAUGACAAUGUAACGCUGGAUCUGUGGUUACGUUCUCCCCGAACCCAGACUAACGGAGCGUUCUCCCCGAACCCAGACUAACGGAGCGUUCUCCCCGAACCCAGACUAACGGAGCGUUCUCCCCGAACCCAGACUAACGGAGCGUUCUCCCCGAACCCAGACUAACGGAGCGUUCUCCCCGAACCCAGACUAACGGAGCGUUCUCCCAGACUAACGGAGAUAGGGGGCUAACGAGCUACUUACUAGCUCCCGUACUGGCUGCCCUGUCGGAGAGGUAUAAUGGACUUCUCUUUUGAUAUUAACCAGGUAUUCUCAGAGAGAGUCUCCAUCUUGGACCAGACGCUCGCUGCAGGUCGUAAAUCAGCAGGAACGCCACAUCUUCAAGCUCACAUAGCCACAGUUAUUGAUGAACUUGGGAGAGCCUCAGCAAAGGCCCAACAGCUCCCAGCAUCUAUAACCAGUGCUUCCAAGCUGCAGUCCCAGAGGCAUCAGCUCUACCUGCUGAAGGAUGGAGAGAGCAACGGAGGACGUGGUGUGGUCGUGGGAUUUCUCAAGGUCGGCUACAAGAAGUUAUUUCUGCUUGACCGACAGGGUGUGCACAUAGAGGCAGAGCCACUGUGUGUUCUGGAUUUCUAUAUAGCAGAGAACCUUCAGCGACAUGGCUACGGGCUGGAGCUGUUUGAUUUCAUGUUGCAGCAAAAGAAUUUAGAGCCAGUUCUGAUGGCUUACGACAGGCCCUCACCCAAAUUCCUGUCUUUCCUGGCGAAGCAUUUCUUCCUGACACAAAGUGUUCCUCAGGCCAAUAACUUUGUGGUGUUCGAAGGCUUCUUCCUCAACAGAUCAGUGGCCCAGUUGAGAAAGGUUCCCUUGAGAAAGCCGGACGGAGAGAUCAAACCCUACUCUUUAAUGGAGAGAGAAGUGGUGCUUCAGGAGCAACGGGCUCGUCCUUGGCCGUUUGCUCCUCCUCACUCGCCCCAGCAGUCGGUAUCCUCCCAGUGCUCCCAUUCCCUCAGCGUGGGAUCCUCCCCCAGCAGGGCGCCCCCUCGUGCCUCCCCAUCUUCUUUCCCUGGGGGCAACAGGGACCAGAGCCCACAGUCCCCUUUCAUCGAGCGCUGCAGAGCAAGGCGCAGCAGGUGGUGGUGGAGAGAGUGGUGCUACAUUUUUUGUGAUUUUUUUUCAAACUUUUCUUAAUUUUGUUGUGUUUUUGUAGAGAGAAACCUGUGUUUCUUGUCAGGGAUGGCAUCCCUGUCUUUGAGGCAUGGAGUUUGGGUUUUAAAAGAGAAGCAAUUUGUGGCGGAAAUAAUAUUGAGCGGCGUCUCGCUGAAUGGCGUUUAUCUGCAGGUGUCCCGGCUCGCCGUGCCCUCCACCCGAGUCACCGUCUCCGGUGUUCCCCCGUUCAUCCCCAACCAGGUGUUGGAGCGGGAGCUGCAGCGCUUCGGGAAGCUAGUGAGCAGCUUCAGAACUGUCGGGAUGGGUUUAAAAAACGAUAAGCUUAAACAUGUCAAGUCCUUGAUGUUCCUUAUUGGUGUUAUAUCAUUAGAUCAAGAAAAGACUUUUGAUCAUGGUUUUAUUUUUUCCACUUUAAGGGCAUUUGGUUUUGGUGAAGGGUUUCUGUCACUGUUUGAUGUACAAGGAAGCUUCUUGUCUGGUAAAGGUGGGGGGGCGCACUGAGCUGUCCAGUUCAGGUCCAGAGAGGUAUCAGACGGGGAUGUCUUAUCUCUGUAUAGCUAUAUUCUAUUGCCAUUGAGCCUUUCUAAACAGGUUGAGAUCCCGUCUGUCAGGACUCAUGUUACCUGGGCGGCCUGAGCUGGUGGUGUCAGCAUAUGCUGAUGACAUUAAUGUGCUUGUUGAAGACCAAAGGGUUGUCAAUGUCCUAGGUUUUGUUUUUGUUUGAGAGGGCAUCUUCAGCAACUGUAAACUGGGGGAAAAGUGAAGCUUUUCAGGUUGGGCAGUGGUUAAACAAAGAAACACCAGAGCUACCAGGAAACAUCAGAUGGGGAAGGCAGGGCUUGAAAGUUGUGGGUGUUUUUUUGGGAACAGAGGAGUUUCAAAGACAGCACUGUGAUGAUGCUAUAGAGAGAGUGUGUACCAGACUAUCAAAAAGGAAAUGGCUGCUACCUCAGCUCUCUUACAGGGAAAGGGUCCUAAUUGUCAAUGACUUGGAUGCCUCGACCCUUUGGCACAGACUGGUAGUCCUACCUCCACCACAGGGCCUGAUCGAAGUAAUCCAGACAAUCUCUCUCUCUGUCUCAGUCUCUCGCUUUCUCUCUCACUCUCUCCUUCUCUGUCUGUCUCUUUGUCUCUGUCUCUCUCGUUCUGCUUGAGUACGUCUUUCUAAACAUGUUCUGUCUCUCUUUUUCUCUUCCCCUUCCCCCUUUUCUUCUCCUGUUCCACCCGCUUUGUCUUCUGUUACUCAUUUGAUGUGCCCCAUCCCCUCACUGUCGUCUGGCCAUAUUUCAUACAAUAGUUCCCUUAAUAGAUCUCAUCUGGGCUUCCAUUGACCAGCCUCUGUCUAGCACUGGUGCCUCUUCCCUUGGACAUGGAGUGUGUUAACAUGUGCACGAUUAUCUUAUUUAGUUUUUUGUCAUGUUCUGGAUAUGGAGCAUGAAUACCCAGGGUUUUUAUCUUCCACUAUACAUGAGUUUUCACCAUCUCAGCCACUAUGUUCUGUAAAAACUAAUAAGGUACAUGCAACAGUAUUCUGCUAUCAUAACCAGGACACAAGUGCGCCUCUAAACACACUCCUGAAGCAGGGGAGAACACCAUGGCUCUGUCUCUGCUUGCCUUUUUCUAGACCUCAUUAAAGUAUCUGCCACUGAACUCCACGUGAUUGCCUUCUGUCUCACACAUUAUUAAGCAACCAAAGCGGUGGAUAUGAGAUGAGGCUGCUCUGUCUACUCCCAAGUCUUCUUUCCAUUCUGUGGCUUUUUAUUUCUUAUGAGUUAGAUUUUAUUGAUAACAUGUGUUCAUGUUUACGCUCAUUCAUGUUUUGUUAUAUUUUGGUUUUACUCGGUUUUGUAAUUCUGUUCUUUUUUUUGUUUUACCGUUGUCUGACCCAAACUGUCCUUUGACUUGCACGUACAUCUCCUCUCGUACUCCUGUCCUUUCUCUUUUUCACCCCGCUCUGAAUGUUUUGGGAUGUCAUUCCAUCCCGCUUGCUGCCAGUCACCAUUUGUUUGGUAGCAGACUGGGUCUAGUUGCCAGAAGCAGCCUGUACAGUCGGCACAUGGACAGCAGAGCUGCUGGACUGCUGGACAGACCCUUACCAGGUAUGAGACCAGUUGGGGAUCAGUCACACGCACUGGAAUACAUAGACACACACAGGUUGGCCAGUAUUCCGACAGCACGGAGCAGGUUCCAGCCUCUCUCACUUCCACUUCUGUGUGCAUCCAACAAGGACGGAAUCCACAGGCAGACCUCCUUAGACUGCACAGAGGAGCACCUGGAUUCACAUGCUGAGGCCCGUGGUGCUGUGGAGGAUGUCAGGGCGUUGGACAGUCCACAGCGUUCAGCACCAGGCAUGCCGGUCGGCAAGAGACAUGCGUUGGAGAAGGAGGACGACGGAGGCAGGCUAGGCUGGUCCUGGACUGUAGAAGAGAACUGCUACACCGCCCAGUGGGUGAAGCAGAAGCAUGAACACAAGAGCACCCAGCCCUGGUGAUUGGGAACUAGUUCUUAUAUUUAAAUGUUUGAAAAAAAUGUAUUGUAUUCUGGAACCAUUCAACCUUUUAGAACACACAUAUGAGCUGAAGCAGGAACUCUGUAAGACCUUCAGAUGUGUUCUGGAGCAUUGAUGCGAUGAUUUCUUGCUGAGAAACAUUCAAACAUUACUUCAGGGCUAAAACACUGAUCUGGAAAAAAGCACUGCCAGUCUUUCCGUUUAAAAGGGGUUUGUUCUCGUGCUGCAGGAAUGACUCCUAAAACCAGGCACUGAGUCUUAACAAAUAAGUCUAAGAGACGACUAAACAUUAUCAAUAGAACACUAGUCCUUAGUAUAGACUAACGUGAAGUCAUGUGACCGUAGUGGAGUUCCUCUAGACUAACGUGAAGUCAUGUGUACAAAAAUACAUCAUCCCAGACUUAUGACAGUGCUUCACUAUCAGAACGGUAUUAACGGAAAAUUAUGUAAAGAAGAAUAAUGACAUCAAUCAUAAAUAAUACAAAAUGAGAUAUAACUGCUAGUCUGAUCUGCACUAUUUAAGAAAGUCAUGGCUAUGUCCAAUCCUUGUCACAGGACAACUACAACUUUAAAUAUGAUUCUUCUAUUCAUUUACAGUAUCUAUUAAUCUAACUGUUCAGAAUGGACAUGCAACUGCUUUAGUCUCAGAAAAAGAAGGAAAAAAAUGUCAUAGUUAGACCAAAAAUACUAUCCUAAAGUUAAAAUGUGACUUGGUAUUAAAUAUAGUUUGGGAAAAGAUUCCAUACUUAAAAUCAUGAAUGUCAGUCUAAACUGAUAAAUGAGGCCCACUGGUGUCUGCCCUCCGACAGCCUCUUGAAGCUUGACAACUAAUCCAAAUGACAAGUGACUCCCUCUGACCAUGAACUUUCUAAAACAGCUAAAUGAACUCAUCACUCUUGGUGAAUGAAACAACAUAAAAGUCUAUCUGAAAGUGUGACACAUGGUAUGACCUCGAUCCUUUGAAGAAUCCUGAGACCUUUAACCGCAGUGGGAAUGUUUUUGUUCUUUUGCAUUGGGUGGGUUUGGAUUCUUACUGGUCAUUGACAAGUGAGGCUGAGCCUCUGAACUAAAGUUAUGGGACUCAUAAGUGGCUUGGUGUUUGCAUCCCUUGAUAACAUAAGACAUUAAGCAUGCUUCAGUGGCAGACAUGACAGGAAUACCUAUUUCCACAUGAACUCACUGGCACAUGGAAUACUAUGGGAAAAGCCAUACUUUUCUUCCCAAAAAGCAGUACCAGUGAAAGCUGUUGCCAGCCAUUCACCCCAGUGUAUUCUGACACAGAUAUUCAACAUAAAACUGAAAAAAAAUGGAUUCCUGCAUUAUUUUGGUGGUUUUCACCAAGAAAUAAGGAUCACGUAACGGGAUGUAGAUCAUCUCCAUGUACUGUAUGAUCACAUGUAGAUCAUCUCAUGGGCAGGGCUGGGUUUACUGACGCCAACAUGUCACACACAUCAACCCUAAGACCAGAACAACUUUCUUGUGACUAAAUAAUCCUGACUCAAGGUCCACUUUCUAGCUUCCACAGGUGAUGGCAACAGAGCAAACUCCUUCCACUUGUGAAAGCUGGUUAAAAGCUUCUGAUAGUGAGUCACACUGACUUGAGUCUUUAUUUAUAGUAAUAAUCUAGGGAGGUAUAGGAAGCUUGGCCUGCUGUAACGAACGGACUACCACCAGAGCUCUAAUUAUGUAUUGUGCAUAGUGCAGAAUAUGUCUGAUGAAAUAGGGAUUCAAAUCAGCAGAAUGAAGUUUCCAUAUAAAGCAGUGGAGCAGCACACACAAUGCAGUGCUGCGUUAAUGUUUGUUCUGGCCCUUGACACAUUCGGCACGUUCUGUUACUCAGUAUCCCAGCAACCUCUGCUUGAGCAGACUAACUGCACCUCUGAAUCCACAGCUGCAUGCUGAGCUCCAAUCAACAGACAUCAGAUACACAAACAGGAUUUUAUUGAUUUAUCUUUCAAACUCUCAAAGUUGACCAACUUGUACGCUAUUCUGUGUCUUUCAAAUGUUCUUCGUCAUUAAAUGAGGGUGUUUUAAUUUGUACAGGACCAACAGCCAAGGAAAUACUACUCGUUACCAACCACGUACUUAAAUGACUGUUUUCUGAGGCUAUGAUGUUUGCCUUUGUUAAAACUGGAGCAUUUAGGAGCAGACUCAACGUAUCUGCGUAGUCAUGUUACCUGUCAGAGUAAAUUUGCUCAGGUUUCUCAUCUUUGCCUUUUAAGUAACUCAUGUAGUACUUUGACCUUUUCCAGCAAAGCUUGUUUUUCCUUUCCAUCAGCAGAGUGAACUCCAUGGGAACACCAGCUACUCACAGGGAGGAUGUUUAAUGAUUACAAUAAGAGCUGCGUAGUGUUCCGGGUCACUUCAAGUGAGGAGAAUAAAAAAGCCUCAUUUAUGCUUCAUGUUUGCACACUCAGGCCAAACGAGAAGUAUUUAGGAUUUUGGGAAAUUAGCUUAUUUUUGUUUUUUAUCUAUCAAUCUGGCCUGUGUGACAAGUACGAAAGCGGAGUCAGGAUUUGGUUAGCUUAGCUUACCAUAGCAUAAAGACUGGGAGCAGAGGAACAAAAUAUUAAUAUUUAUCUGGACAUCUCACUGUCCAAAAGAAAGAAUACACUCAUUUACCUGACUUAAAUUUCUACACACAGUGUCUGAUGGCUACCAGCAUUGUUGUUACACUAGCGUCCCUAUACAGCAGCCCUAUCUUUUGAAGAUAUUUUAAGGUCUACAAUUUUAAGCAAUUCCCGGAAGCCUCUGUCCCUCCUGCUGAGUCCAUGUGAGGUCUAGUCAGCGUCUCGCAGUAAGGACAGGUAGACGUCGGACUGGAGGAAGCGGGGAUAGCAGUCUGUGUCCAGGAGUGAGAAGAUACGCUUCUGUGCGUGGGACAGAGAGGUGUGAGAAGGAGCCUGUAGCAGCUGGACGGUCAGAUCCCGGGUCUUACUGUCCAGGUUCACCUAGCACAGGACGGCACAGAGGGCAAGUAUGGGCUACAUUCAAAGGACAAGCCAGAGUGUUACAACUUUACUUUUCGACCAUUGUUUCUAUCAACUAAACUGUUGGCUUGUUUCCAACCUAUCUGAUCAA
Molecule: RNA transcript, 6930 nt
Organism: Cyclopterus lumpus (lumpfish)
Lineage: Eukaryota; Metazoa; Chordata; Actinopteri; Perciformes; Cyclopteridae
Gene: atat1
Gene name: alpha tubulin acetyltransferase 1
Exons: 12
Source: RefSeq, a predicted model, not a curated record